GGUUAAGUUAGAAAGGGCGCACGGUGAAUGCCUUGGCACUAGGAGCCGAUGAAGGACGGGACUAACACCGAUAUGCUUCGGGGAGCUGUAAGUGAGCUUUGAUCCGGAGAUUUCCGAAUGGGGAAACCCACUGUUCGUAAUGGAACAGUAUCUUUAUCUGAAUACAUAGGAUAUUGAAGGCAGACCCGGGGAACUGAAACAUCUAAGUACCCGGAGGAAGAGAAAGCAAAUGCGAUUUCCUGAGUAGCGGCGAGCGAAACGGAAUUAGCCCAAACCAAGAGGCUUGCCUCUUGGGGUUGUAGGACACUCUAUACGGAGUUACAAAGGAACGAAGUAAAUGAAGCGACCUGGAAAGGUCCGUCGAAGAAGGUAACAACCCUGUAGUUGAAACUUCGUUCCCUCUUGAGUGGAUCCUGAGUACGGCGGAACACGUGAAAUUCCGUCGGAAGCUGGGAGGACCAUCUCCCAAGGCUAAAUACUACCUAGUGACCGAUAGUGAACCAGUACCGUGAGGGAAAGGUGAAAAGCACCCCGGAAGGGGAGUGAAAGAGAUCCUGAAACCGUGUGCCUACAAGUAGUCAGAGCCCGUUAACGGGUGAUGGCGUGCCUUUUGUAGAAUGAACCGGCGAGUUACGAUCCCAUGCAAGGUUAAGCUGAUAAGGCGGAGCCGUAGCGAAAGCGAGUCUGAAUAGGGCGUUUAGUAUGUGGUUGUAGACCCGAAACCAGGUGAUCUACCCAUGUCCAGGGUGAAGUUCAGGUAACACUGAAUGGAGGCCCGAACCCACGCACGUUGAAAAGUGCGGGGAUGAGGUGUGGGUAGCGGAGAAAUUCCAAUCGAACCUGGAGAUAGCUGGUUCUCUCCGAAAUAGCUUUAGGGCUAGCCUCAUGUUGUGAGAGUCUUGGAGGUAGAGCACUGAUUGGACUAGGGGCCCCCAACGGGUUACCGAAUUCAGUCAAACUCCGAAUGCCAAAGACUUAUCCAUGGGAGUCAGACUGCGAGUGAUAAGAUCCGUAGUCAAAAGGGAAACAGCCCAGACCACCAGCUAAGGUCCCCAAGUAUACGUUAAGUGGAAAAGGAUGUGGAGUUGCUUAGACAACCAGGAUGUUGGCUUAGAAGCAGCCACCAUUUAAAGAGUGCGUAAUAGCUCACUGGUCGAGUGACUCUGCGCCGAAAAUGUACCGGGGCUAAACGUAUCACCGAAGCUGUGGAUUGACAUCUUUGAUGUCAGUGGUAGGAGAGCGUUCUAAGUGCUGUGAAGUCAGACCGUAAGGACUGGUGGAGCGCUUAGAAGUGAGAAUGCCGGUAUGAGUAGCGAAAGACAAGUGAGAAUCUUGUCCACCGAAUGCCUAAGGUUUCCUGAGGAAGGCUCGUCCGCUCAGGGUUAGUCGGGACCUAAGCCGAGGCUGAAAAGCGUAGGCGAUGGCCAACAGGUUGAUAUUCCUGUACCACCUCCCCGCCGUUUGAGUAAUGGGGGGACGCAGUAGGAUAGGGUAAGCGCGCUGCUGGAUAUGCGCGUUCAAGCAGUUAGGCUGAUGAGUAGGCAAAUCCGCUCAUCAUAAAGGCUGAGCUGUGAUGACGAGGGAAUUAUAGUACCGAAGUUCCUGAUUCCACACUGCCAAGAAAAGCCUCUAGCGAGGCGGGAGGUGCCCGUACCGCAAACCGACACAGGUAGGCGAGGAGAGAAUCCUAAGGUGAUCGAGAGAACUCUCGUUAAGGAACUCGGCAAAAUGACCCCGUAACUUCGGGAGAAGGGGUGCUCUGGUAGGGUGUAUAGCCCGAGAGAGCCGCAGUGAAUAGGCCCAGGCGACUGUUUAGCAAAAACACAGGUCUCUGCGAAGCCGCAAGGCGAAGUAUAGGGGCUGACGCCUGCCCGGUGCUGGAAGGUUAAGAGGAGGGGUUAUCCUUUGGGAGAAGCUCUGAAUUGAAGCCCCAGUAAACGGCGGCCGUAACUAUAACGGUCCUAAGGUAGCGAAAUUCCUUGUCGGGUAAGUUCCGACCCGCACGAAAGGCGUAACGAUCUGGGCACUGUCUCAACGAGAGACUCGGUGAAAUUAUAGUACCUGUGAAGAUGCAGGUUACCCGCGACAGGACGGAAAGACCCCGUGGAGCUUUACUGUAGCCUGAUAUUGAAUUUUGGUACAGCUUGUACAGGAUAGGUAGGAGCCUGAGAAGCCGGAGCGCUAGCUUCGGUGGAGGCGUCGGUGGGAUACUACCCUGGCUGUAUUGAAAUUCUAACCCGCGGCCCUGAUCGGGCCGGGAGACAGUGUCAGGUGGGCAGUUUGACUGGGGCGGUCGCCUCCUAAAAUGUAACGGAGGCGCCCAAAGGUUCCCUCAGAAUGGUUGGAAAUCAUUCGUAGAGUGUAAAGGCACAAGGGAGCUUGACUGCGAGACCUACAAGUCGAGCAGGGACGAAAGUCGGGCUUAGUGAUCCGGUGGUUCCGCAUGGAAGGGCCAUCGCUCAACGGAUAAAAGCUACCCCGGGGAUAACAGGCUUAUCUCCCCCAAGAGUCCACAUCGACGGGGAGGUUUGGCACCUCGAUGUCGGCUCAUCGCAUCCUGGGGCUGUAGUCGGUCCCAAGGGUUGGGCUGUUCGCCCAUUAAAGCGGUACGCGAGCUGGGUUCAGAACGUCGUGAGACAGUUCGGUCCCUAUCCGUCGUGGGCGUAGGAAAUUUGAGAGGAGCUGUCCUUAGUACGAGAGGACCGGGAUGGACACACCGCUGGUGUACCAGUUGUCUUGCCAAAGGCAUCGCUGGGUAGCUAUGUGUGGACGGGAUAAGUGCUGAAAGCAUCUAAGCAUGAAGCCCCCCUCAAGAUGAGAUUUCCCAUAGCGCAAGCUAGUAAGAUCCCUGAAAGAUGAUCAGGUUGAUAGGUCAGAGGUGGAAGCGUGGCGACAUGUGUAGCUGACUGAUACUAAUCGAUCGAGGACUUAACCAA
This 2936-nucleotide ribosomal RNA is filed under the name Priestia megaterium. Its description in RNAcentral is "23S ribosomal RNA". It matches the Rfam family "Bacterial large subunit ribosomal RNA". Lineage: Bacteria; Bacillati; Bacillota; Bacilli; Caryophanales; Bacillaceae. RNAcentral also lists the same sequence under 1 other name. The record is from RNAcentral.